GAUGAACGCUGGCGGCGUGCCUAAUACAUGCAGGUCGAGCGAACAGAUGAGGAGCUUGCUCCUCUGACGUUAGCGGCGGACGGGUGAGUAACACGUGGAUAACCUACCUAUAAGACUGGGAUAACUUCGGGAAACCGGAGCUAAUACCGGAUAAUAUAUUGAACCGCAUGGUUCAAUAGUGAAAGACGGUUUUGCUGUCACUUAUAGAUGGAUCCGCGCCGCAUUAGCUAGUUGGUAAGGUAACGGCUUACCAAGGCAACGAUGCGUAGCCGACCUGAGGGGGUGAUCGGCCACACUGGAACUGAGACACGGUCCAGACUCCUACGGGAGGCAGCAGUAGGGAAUCUUCCGCAAUGGGCGAAAGCCUGACGGAGCAACGCCGCGUGAGUGAUGAAGGUCUUCGGAUCGUAAAACUCUGUUAUUAGUGAAGAACAAAUGUGUAAGUAACUGUGCACGUCUUGACGGUACCUAAUCAGAAAGCCACGGCUAACUACGUG
Molecule: ribosomal RNA, 497 nt
Filed under: uncultured bacterium
Lineage: Bacteria
Description: partial 16S ribosomal RNA
Rfam family: Bacterial small subunit ribosomal RNA
Source: RNAcentral